CCGGCGACCGGCGCACGGGUGAGUAACACGUAUGCAACCUGCCCUCUUCAGGGGGACAACCUCCCGAAAGGGAGGCUAAUCCCGCGUAUAUCGGUUUCGGGCAUCCGAGAUCGAGGAAAGAUUCAUCGGAAGAGGAUGGGCAUGCGGCGCAUUAGCUAGACGGCGGGGUAACGGCUCACCGUGGCGACGAUGCGUAGGGGUUCUGAGAGGAAGGUCCCCCACACUGGUACUGAGACACGGACCAGACUCCUACGGAAGGCAGCAG
This 265-nucleotide ribosomal RNA is filed under the name uncultured bacterium. Its description in RNAcentral is "partial 16S ribosomal RNA". It matches the Rfam family "Bacterial small subunit ribosomal RNA", at positions 88 to 354 of the family's 1533-position model. The record is from RNAcentral.